UGCAGUCGAACGAUGAUCCGGUGCUUGCACCGGGGAUUAGUGGCGAACGGGUGAGUAACACGUGAGUAACCUGCCCUUGACUCUGGGAUAAGCCUGGGAAACUGGGUCUAAUACCGGAUAUGACUCCUCAUCGCAUGGUGGGGGGUGGAAAGCUUUUGUGGUUUUGGAUGGACUCGCGGCCUAUCAGCUUGUUGGUGAGGUAAUGGCUCACCAAGGCGACGACGGGUAGCCGGCCUGAGAGGGUGACCGGCCACACUGGGACUGAGACACGGCCCAGACUCCUACGGGAGGCAGCAGUGGGGAAUAUUGCACAAUGGGCGCAAGCCUGAUGCAGCGACGCCGCGUGAGGGAUGACGGCCUUCGGGUUGUAAACCUCUUUCAGUAGGGAAGAAGCGAAAGUGACGGUACCUGCAGAAGAAGCGCCGGCUAACUACGUGCCAGCAGCCGCGGUAAUACGUAGGGCGCAAGCGUUAUCCGGAAUUAUUGGGCGUAAAGAGCUCGUAGGCGGUUUGUCGCGUCUGCCGUGAAAGUCCGGGGCUCAACUCCGGAUCUGCGGUGGGUACGGGCAGGCUAGAGUGAUGUAGGGGAGACUGGAAUUCCUGGUGUAGCGGUGAAAUGCGCAGAUAUCAGGAGGAACACCGAUGGCGAAGGCAGGUCUCUGGGCAUUAACUGACGCUGAGGAGCGAAAGCAUGGGGAGCGAACAGGAUUAGAUACCCUGGUAGUCCAUGCCGUAAACGUUGGGCACUAGGUGUGGGGGACAUUCCACGUUUUCCGCGCCGUAGCUAACGCAUUAAGUGCCCCGCCUGGGGAGUACGGCCGCAAGGCUAAAACUCAAAGGAAUUGACGGGG
This 850-nucleotide ribosomal RNA is filed under the name Arthrobacter globiformis. Its description in RNAcentral is "bacterial SSU rRNA". It matches the Rfam family "Bacterial small subunit ribosomal RNA", at positions 56 to 918 of the family's 1533-position model. Lineage: Bacteria; Bacillati; Actinomycetota; Actinomycetes; Micrococcales; Micrococcaceae. The record is from RNAcentral.